RNAcentral lists this ribosomal RNA (179 nucleotides) under Helicobacter pylori Hp H-10. RNAcentral describes it as "partial 16S ribosomal RNA". The record is from RNAcentral. Lineage: Bacteria; Pseudomonadati; Campylobacterota; Epsilonproteobacteria; Campylobacterales; Helicobacteraceae.
AUUUAAGCAAACCUUAAGCUUUAUAUGACUAUACUUUCAUUUCCUUGUUUCAGCAAGGGCUUUUAAAAAGCCGCUAACUUACAAGGAUAGCUGUUUAAAGCAAACGAUCUUUGAAAACUAAGCAAAUUGAUAGAAGUUCUUUUUAAAGGGAUAUUCUAAAAUCAUAAGCAAUGACUUAC